CCAAGAUGGCGGACCCAGAAGAUGAACUUCCGCAAUGCUCACUCAGAAUUACCUCCGAUGGACAGGCUUUGCGAUGCCAGAACAGUAGGUGGCGGUAUGCACCUAAACUUUCUUGCGGCAAAAUUUACAGAAGAAGAACUUUCAGGAAGUUUGAAAAUAGCAAGCCGUCCGCAUUCAUUCAAUCUCACCUCCGACCCACUCAAACUAACCCUAACCCUGCAUUCCAUUGUUUCCAUUAUAGGAAAUCUAAGUGACGCUCUCAAAUUAACAGGAGCAUUGCGCAGAAGAUAUGUCCUGGGCAAUGGAAUGAGAAAACGGGCAGAGAUUUAGAGGUAUUUGUGCAUGCUCUAUAUUACAGUUGAAAAAUGUAUGUGACAAGAUGAUUAACGUUUGCUUAUGUUAAAUCAGGGCUUCCCCAGCCAGGACUUCGGCUCAGACUGUGGCAUAUUCAUGUUGAUGGUAGGUCAUAACGAGCUGUAAUGCACAAAUAUUGUAGUAUCUAGAAUAACUUUACAACUUUUUUAAAGUUAUCUCACAUGUUGUCUCAUAAUUUUUUUUAAGUCUGCCAUGUACAUUGUUAUGGAGUCACAGUUUGACUACUCAGUUGUAAGUACUUUUCAACACGCAGUGUCAUCCUCAAGGUUGUAUUUUGUAUUGUGCACUAAAAUGAAAUACAAACAACAAUUUCAGCAUGACAUGCCUGUUUUGCGGAGAUGGUGGUGCCUGUUGCUCUUAAAAAACAAUGCUUUGAACAGGUAGACAGUUUAAGU
Molecule: non-coding RNA, 770 nt
Organism: Xyrichtys novacula (pearly razorfish)
Lineage: Eukaryota; Metazoa; Chordata; Actinopteri; Labriformes; Labridae
Source: the annotation of a GenBank genome assembly